CCUACGGGAGGCUGCAGUGGGGAAUAUUGCACAAUGGGGGAAACCCUGAUGCAGCGACGCCGCGUGAGUGAAGCAGGAUUUCGGUCUGUAAAGCUCUGUCAGCAGGGAAGAAAAUGACGGUACCUAAUAAAGAACCCUCGGAUGACGCCGUGCCAGCAGCCGCAGUAAUACGGAGGGAGCAAGCGUUAUCCGGAGUUACUGGGUGGAACGGGAGCGGAGUCGGCAGCUCAAGUCUGGUGUGAAAGGCCGUGGCUUAACCACGGUACUGCUUUGGAAACUGGGUAGCUAGAGUGCAGGAGAGGGAAGUGGAAUUCCUAGUGGAGCGGUGAAAUGCGUAGAUAUUAGGAGGAACACCAGUGGCGAAGGCGGCUUACUGGACUGUAACUGACGCUGAGGCUCGAAAGCGUGGGGAGCAAACAGGAUUAGAUACCCCGGUAGUC
This 440-nucleotide ribosomal RNA is filed under the name uncultured bacterium. Its description in RNAcentral is "partial 16S ribosomal RNA". It matches the Rfam family "Bacterial small subunit ribosomal RNA", at positions 338 to 795 of the family's 1533-position model. The record is from RNAcentral.